GGGACAACCCGCCGAAAGGCGGGCUAAACCCGCGUACAUGCCACCGGGGCAUCCCGGAGGCAGGAAAGGCUUCGGCCGGACAGGGAUGGGCAUGCGGCGCAUUAGGCAGUAGGCGGAGUAACGGCCCACCUAACCGACGAUGCGUAGGGGUUCUGAGAGGAAGGUCCCCCACACUGGUACUGAGACACGGACCAGACUCCUACGGGAGGCAGCAGUGAGGAAUAUUGGUCAAUGGUCGGGAGACUGAACCAGCCAAGCCGCGUGAGGGAGGAAGGUACAGAGUAUCGUAAACCUCUUUUGUCAGGGAACAAAGACUGGGACGCGUCCCCGGAUGAGUGUACCUGAAGAAAAAGCAUCGGCUAACUCCGUGCCAGCAGCCGCGGUAAUACGGAGGAUGCGAGCGUUAUCCGGAUUUAUUGGGUUUAAAGGGUGCGCAGGCGGUCUGUUAAGUCAGCGGUCAAAGCCCGGGGCUCAACCCCGGCCCGCCGUUGAAACUGGCAGUCUCGAGUUGGAGAGAAGUAUGCGGAAUGCGCGGUGUAGCGGUGAAAUGCAUAGAUAUCGCGCAGAACUCCGAUUGCGAAGGCAGCAUGCCGGCUCCACACUGACGCUGAGGCACGAAAGCGUGGGUAUCGAACAGGAUUAGAUACCCUGGUAGUCCACGCAGUAAACGAUGAAUGCUGGCUGUCCG
Molecule: ribosomal RNA, 688 nt
Filed under: uncultured bacterium
Lineage: Bacteria
Description: bacterial SSU rRNA
Rfam family: Bacterial small subunit ribosomal RNA
Source: RNAcentral